GACGAACGCUGGCGGCGUGCUUAACACAUGCAAGUCGAACGGAAAGGCCCUGCUUGCAGGGUACUCGAGUGGCGAACGGGUGAGUAACACGUGGGUGAUCUGCCCUGCACUUCGGGAUAAGCCUGGGAAACUGGGUCUAAUACCGGAUAGGAGCCAUUUUUAGUGUGAUGGUUGGAAAGUUUUUUCGGUGUAGGAUGAGCUCGCGGCCUAUCAGCUUGUUGGUGGGGUAAUGGCCUACCAAGGCGGCGACGGGUAGCCGGCCUGAGAGGGUGGACGGCCACAUUGGGACUGAGAUACGGCCCAGACUCCUACGGGAGGCAGCAGUGGGGAAUAUUGCACAAUGGGCGCAAGCCUGAUGCAGCGACGCCGCGUGGGGGAUGACGGCCUUCGGGUUGUAAACUCCUUUCGCUAGGGACGAAGCUUUUUGUGACGGUACCUAGAUAAUAAGCACCGGCUAACUACGUG
RNAcentral lists this ribosomal RNA (465 nucleotides) under uncultured bacterium. RNAcentral's name for it is "partial 16S ribosomal RNA". It matches the Rfam family "Bacterial small subunit ribosomal RNA", at positions 28 to 507 of the family's 1533-position model. The record is from RNAcentral.